AUGCUUGAUGUUUUACCUGAUAUUUCGGCAUUUCUUUCCAUAGCCAAUAUGUCUUAAGAAGUUUCCUAGUUUGGAGAAUUCAGCUUUUUUUUUCUCUUCCAAAUAUAUGAUCGUCAAGUUAGAAUACAGUUCAUCUAAAUGUGUUUCGCAGGACACAUGGUUUAUAUUUACAGUGAAUGGGUGUUUGUUGAGUGAAAAUGGACCAAGUAGUGUUUGAAUGUUGAGGAGGCAGCUAGCACCAGCGCCGUCAAUCAGGGCAGCGUUGGCAGGGAGAUGACGAUGAAGAUCACUGUGCUUGUGAUAAGUUCUCCAGCUGUAACCGGUUGGACCCGAGCGCAUAGGGAGAGAGGGGGGGGGAUUUCAUAGAGAAGGAAUGGAAAAAUGGGAUCCUAAAAAACAAAAGCAGUGAAGUAGGAUCUAGGGAGGAGACUUGGAGAAUGUGUUCCACUGAAUAGAGUAUCUGGAUUAUCGCUCCCAGUAACAUACAGCUGGGGAAAUGAACGCAGGCCAAUGCUAAUGGAUCAUAGUAAAGGAAUUAGGAUAGGAGGGCCUUUAAGGUCUAAUUAAUCAAAGUAUGAAAAAGUCAGUCAUGCCACAAAGAACACAAAACAUGGGUGUGAACCUUUUUUUUUUUUUUUUAUUUUUUUUUUUAAACUUCUUUAAUCCAUUGGCCAGAUGAUUGACAGAGCUAUUCAUAUAAGAGCUGUGAGUGUGUUUUUUUUGGAGCUGUAAAAAAAUAAUUAUAAACAGUGAAACAGUAACCUUUCAGUUUGAUUAAUGAUGGGUUAAAAAUGGCAAGUUCUAAUUACGCACCUGCAGUACCAGUCAUCAGUAAAUUUAAGUGAGAUUAUAUCUUAUUAAACAGUGCAAAAACAACAUUCCUCUUGUUUAAUACCAAACAUGGUUAAGAUCACGAUGUAAAUCACAGGAUUGUUUAUCAGUGUGGCUUUGAGUGAUUUUUGUUCAUUUUGGGUCCCGAAUCUAUAAAUGUAUUCCCUUCAUUUUCAUUUAUCCCUUCUUGGUUUCUGAGUUAUCAGUGACCAGCUAAGUAUUUGGGGGACAGGAAUCAUUUCCUUCACCCAAUCCCUGGCUGUUGUAUUGGUGUCAUGUCUUCUGACACUUUAUGUGAGACAGUAUUUGCUUACAGUAAUAACCAACUGUCAACACCCUUUUUUUUGUGUGGCAAUUUCCUCCCUUGACUUCCAGUUCUAAAGAAUCUGCAAUAUUACGCAGCUAACGUGACAAACGCAACGCUAUGUGCCCCAGUUUGAAGGAUUUAGGAGAUUUUAAUGUGCCUUCCGCUUCCUGUCCAACCAAGGUUUAGUCCCCCCCCCCCCCCCCCACACACACACACACUUGUCACGGCUGUGUGUGCUAUUUGUUGCAUGUGUGUCAGUCUGAUUAGUGAGCGAUGUUUUGGGGGUGUCAUCCUUAAGGGUAUUUCCUCAUUUAUCUGUUGGCUGAAAAUGUUGCCUAACUUUGUUUUCCUCACGCAUAAAAUGCCCAUUAGGUGAUAUUGUGUGUAGUCUCAAGUGACCUUACCUUUGCUGAUUUCAUCACGUAUAACUUCUUAAGUGAACAUUGAAUGCCUAUUUAUGUACAGAAUAAAAUAUGUGAUGUUCAUUCAGAAACAUAACGCCCAGGUGUGAUGUAAUCAUGACCUGAAUCUCAUGUAUGAGCACCUCAAGUUAACGGCAUCACAUAUCGUUGGUUGUGAAGAAACUGUCACAGUUUCCCAGGAAAUAGUUGUUUUUUUUAUGUCUGUAUGCAUUUCAUAUAAGACUAGUUUAAGACAUUCACUUUUGCAGUUUAGCCACUUAAAUAUGUAUAAAAAAAAAAAUCCUCAAUACUUAAGUGUUUAACUUGAUUUUACACCAAUGGAGGCCGCAUGAGCAGAGCCUUGUAGCUGUACAGAAAUGGUUUUAAAUCUGCUUAAAAACACAGUGAAUUCAGUUGUGACAGAUAUUAUCAAGAGAUCUCUUAUCAAACUAUUUUUCAUGAUCCAUAACUACAGUGCAGCCGGACCACUCUUUGUUUCUCGACUGCUGAAGCAAGCCUGAGAUAAUCUUGAAUCUCCAGAUUGAUUUCUUGAUAAUAUUCAGAACAAAUGUCCCGUGUUUCAACGUUGGUGCUUUUGUGCUGCUUCUCGGUGUUCUUUGUCUCACAAAGCUUUUUUUUUUCUGUAUGAGAGAGAGAGAGAGAGAGAGAGAGUGAAGAAAACGGAUCCAUGCUGUGGAAUGAUAAAAGGCAGUGCUGUGAAAUUUAAUGUCAUGCUCUUAAUACUGUUUUUAUGGAGGGGAGAUCGUCUUCAGGUGUAAUAAUUUAGAAGAGUUUAUUAGAGUGUUCAAAAGACGUAAUAAACAGCAUAAAAUGAUGUGAUAAUGAUGUCUUGUUUUUAACCGCCACAAUGUUUGAUUGAAUGAAUUGUUAAAUGUUGCUAUUUCUACUUUUAUUUUUUACUGGAUUGCAAAA
Long non-coding RNA from Etheostoma spectabile (orangethroat darter), 2472 nucleotides. RefSeq lists it as uncharacterized. Lineage: Eukaryota; Metazoa; Chordata; Actinopteri; Perciformes; Percidae. The transcript has 3 exons. The record is from RefSeq and is a predicted model, not a curated record.